Molecule: unclassified non-coding RNA, 636 nt
Filed under: Hevea brasiliensis (rubber tree)
Lineage: Eukaryota; Viridiplantae; Streptophyta; Magnoliopsida; Malpighiales; Euphorbiaceae
Source: RNAcentral
AAAUAAUCAGUUGAACCAGUAUUUAUCUUACUAAAACUAAGCAGACAGGAUCUGGGUUCCGAUUAUCUUGGAAUCUUGAAUCCAUUUGAACUGUUAAAAACAAGAAAAAGGAUUCAAUUUUGAACUGAAAAAGGGAGAAAGAAUUGUUGAAUCAGGAUGGAUAUGGAGGAUGAAUAUGAACCCCAAUACAAUGUUGACGAUGAUGAAGAGGAGAUAACCCAAGAAGAUGCUUGGGCUGUGAUUAGUGCUUACUUUGAGGAGAAGGGUCUUGUUCGUCAACAACUAGAUUCGUUUGAUGAGUUCAUUCAGAAUACCAUGCAAGAAAUCGUUGAUGAAUCUGCUGAUAUAGAGAUCCGUCCUGAGUCCCAGCAUAACCCUGGUCACCAAUCUGACUUUGCUGAGACUAUCUACAAAAUCAAUUUUGGUCAGAUUUAUUUGAGUAAGCCAAUGAUGACAGAGUCAGAUGGUGAAACUGCUACCUUAUUUCCAAAGGCUGCGAGGUUGAGGAAUCUGACAUAUUCUGCUCCUUUGUACGUUGAUGUCACGAAAAGAGUCAUUAAGAAAGGGCAUGAUGGUGAAGAGGUUACUGAAACUCAGGACUUCACAAAAGUCUUCAUUGGAAAGGUUCCUAUAAUG